RNAcentral lists this long non-coding RNA (201 nucleotides) under Elaeis guineensis (African oil palm). RNAcentral's name for it is "long non-coding RNA (EGUI_LNC006414)". The record is from RNAcentral. Lineage: Eukaryota; Viridiplantae; Streptophyta; Magnoliopsida; Arecales; Arecaceae.
CCAAUGCAUGAGAAGCCAACCAAUCAGCAGCUUGAUUGGCUUCAUGAAAAAUAUGCGAGACAGUACAAGUUGAGAGCGAGAAGAGCCGCAUUUUAAUAUCUUGGAGCCAAGGAGAACAAUGUAGAUGAAAACUAGUCGUUUGCUUUAUCCAGGAAAUGACCACUGAUGAGUCACCCUGUAACCAAAUGGCCUGAGAAGGAA